AUGAUAAACAAGGGAUUAGCAAGUUUGAGCUCGGUGAUAGAAUUACUCAAUGAGAUCCUAAAUAGAAGCAUGGUUCAACCAAUUGACAUCAAUGUUGAUAAAGGCAUGGAAAAAUCUUAUCGUAUACAUGAUAUGGUGAUUGAUUCCAUAUGUUUUUGCCAAGUGAAGAAAAACCAUUUGCAUGGCACUCAGUCAAAGGCAAGAUUUGAAGAUUAA
This 216-nucleotide ribosomal RNA is filed under the name Triticum aestivum (bread wheat). RNAcentral's name for it is "partial small subunit ribosomal RNA". The record is from RNAcentral. Lineage: Eukaryota; Viridiplantae; Streptophyta; Magnoliopsida; Poales; Poaceae.